Molecule: transfer RNA, 74 nt
Filed under: Treponema sp.
Lineage: Bacteria; Pseudomonadati; Spirochaetota; Spirochaetia; Treponematales; Treponemataceae
Description: tRNA-Arg
Source: RNAcentral
AACUCAAUAGAUAUGAAAUUUGAGGCGGCAUCUGCCUUCUAAGCAGAGGGUCGGCAGUUCGAGUCUGCCAUGCG